Molecule: ribosomal RNA, 225 nt
Filed under: Gambierdiscus australes
Lineage: Eukaryota; Dinophyceae; Gonyaulacales; Pyrocystaceae
Description: partial Bacterial large subunit ribosomal RNA
Rfam family: Bacterial large subunit ribosomal RNA
Source: RNAcentral
GGGAACUGAAACAUCUAAGUACCCAGAGGAAAGGAAAUCAACCGAGACUCCGUAAGUAGCGGCGAGCGAAAGCGGAUUGUUGUGAGACCAGUGAACGCGUUGGAAUGCGCGGUCGAAGACGGUGAAAACCCGGUAGCUGGAGGUAGCAACAUAGCUCUAGAGUAGGCUCGGGCUCGUGGAACCCGGGUUGAACAUGGGGGGUCCACCCUCCAAGGCUAAGUACUC